Molecule: ribosomal RNA, 255 nt
Filed under: uncultured bacterium
Lineage: Bacteria
Description: partial 16S ribosomal RNA
Rfam family: Bacterial small subunit ribosomal RNA
Source: RNAcentral
UACGUAGGGGGCAAGCGUUGUCCGGAAUCACUGGGCGUAAAGCGCGCGCAGGCGGCUAUCUACGUCCGGGGUGAAAGCCCAGAGCUCAACUCUGGGAUUGCCUUGGAUACCGGGAUGGCUUGAGGAUCGGAGAGGCAAGGGGAAUUCCACGUGUAGCGGUGAAAUGCGUAGAGAUGUGGAGGAACACCUGUGGCGAAGGCGGUCUCUGGGCCGGUACUGACGCUGGAGGUGACGAAAGCGUGGGGAGCAAACCGG